This is a long non-coding RNA of Mytilus californianus (California mussel), 961 nucleotides long. RefSeq lists it as uncharacterized. The transcript is spliced from 3 exons. The record is from RefSeq and is a predicted model, not a curated record. NCBI's taxonomy places the organism in Eukaryota, Metazoa, Mollusca, Bivalvia, Mytilida, Mytilidae.
CUGACACCUAAUUUAUUUGUAUGUUUAAAUUGGGUACUUUUUGGACCUUUGUACAUGUAUGAGCACAUGGUCGAAAAUUGAUACGGAGAUUAUUGAUAUCUAGAUGGCUAACAGAGGACCAACAGAUGACAUUGAACCUGCUCCACCAUACGAGCCACCUAAUAGAUUUUUAAACAUUUACCAUGGACAGGGAACAAGUGAUAUCGGAAGAGGGUCACAUCCAGCCCCUAAUAAUUUUAUGUUCAACAGAGCUACAUAUCCAGAGCUUCCAGGAUUUUAUGAUGAAUACGGACACGAUCAAUUCAAGAUGAUGGAAUUAAAUUCGAAGCAUAAAGCCAAGAUGAGGCGUCAGCUCCAUCAACAGAAUACAACGGAACUGGCGACGGUACGAACAAGAAGUUCCGGCAGUAAACUUGGACUAAUUUUCUUCUUUGUGUUAUCGCUUGUGAUUGUUGGAGGUUUUGUAGCUCUUGUCUUUUAUGUUGUGUCUUCCCGUAGUUGAUUUUGAAGGACAAAACAAAAACGGAAUCGAACCUGUAUUGUAUUUUUUUUCUUUUUCAUUUUUACAUGUAUUUUUACAUAUUUGUUUUCUCUAAAGAGAUUAAUAUUUUACUUAACGUCAAUUAGACAGCAAUCCAAUAUCAAAAUAUAGCAACAAAUAGACAUUUACUGUAGUGUGUCUGAUGAUUUUAUGCAACGGUUUAUAGCUGUUCUGUUUUAUGUGUCGUCUCUUAUAUGAAUAAAAAAGAGCGGGAAAAGUAUUGAUUUAAGGUGUAGUGCAUUUACUCUUAUAAAUGUAUGUUGUAUUUCAUUUUUACUGGCAUUAUUGUGUGAUAUAUGUUUCCUUUAUCAAUUAAAGCACAGAAAAAAGAACAAAUUCAUGUAUGCAUUUUUUUUAUUUAUGGAGUUGUUUGACUUGUUUACUUGUUUUCCCAAGAAUAAAUCACUUUCCCUUUGUUUA